RNAcentral lists this ribosomal RNA (468 nucleotides) under uncultured bacterium. RNAcentral's name for it is "partial 16S ribosomal RNA". It matches the Rfam family "Bacterial small subunit ribosomal RNA", at positions 28 to 507 of the family's 1533-position model. The record is from RNAcentral.
GACGAACGCUGGCGGCGUGCUUAACACAUGCAAGUCGAACGGAAAGGCCCUGCUUUUUUGGUGUGCUCGAUUGGCGAUCGGGUGUGUAACACGUGAGUAACCUGCCCUUGACUUUGUGAUAACUUCAGGAAACUGGGGCUAAUACCGGAUAGGAGCUCCUGCUGCUUGGUGGUGGUUGGAAAGUUUCGGCGGUUGGGGAUGGACUCGCUGCUUAUCAGCUUGUUGGUGGGGUAGUGGCUUACCAAGGCUUUGACGGGUAGCCGGCCUGAGAGGGUGACCGGCGACAUUGGGACUGAGAUACGGCGCAGACGGCAACGGGAGGCAGCAGUGGGGAAUAUUGCAGAAUGGGAGGAAGCAUGAUGCAGAAACGGCGCGUGCGGGAAGACGGCGAACGGGUUGUAAACAGCAUGAGCCUGAGACGAAGCGUGAGUGACGGUAAUGGGUAAAGAAGCACCGGCUAACUACGUG